GGGCAGAUCGUUUGAAGCCGGGCGUGGUGGUGCACGCCUGCAGUCCCAGCUACUUGGGAGGCUCAGGCAGGAGAAUCGCUUGAACAAGAAAGUGGGAGAGUUUGGACAUGUCAUAGGUUGUGGGUAAGAGAAAACCUAAGAUAAUCUAUUCUUCCUUCCCCGUUGUUUAUACCUUAUGUUUGCAGUGCCUUUAUUAUUUCUUCUGUUUUCCCUGUCACAAUUCUGAUGUUACAAAAUCUAGCCCAAAUCUCUCUCAAAGCCAUCCCAGACUCUUUCAUGCCACUCUGAUUUCUCCCUCUUACUCUAUUUUUAUCUGUAACUGUAUGUAACACAUAGCUUAUUGUCUGAGUAUAGACAUUCAGCAAACUUUGGUUGAUUGGAAAGUCUUCGUUUAAACUUCUAAUUUCUCUAAGGAACGAGUUGAAGCAGUUAAUAUGGCUGAAGGAAUCAUUCACGACACAGAAACCAAGAUGGAAGAAUUCAAGGACCAAUUACCUGCUGAUGAGAUGGCAUCUGAGCGAGAAGGCUCUGGAAGUUCUGGCACUGGGGAACAAAAGGAAGAUCAAAAGGAGGAAAAACAGUAAUAAUAGCAGAAAUUUUGAAGCCAGAAGGACAACAUAUGAAGCUUAGGAGUGAAGAGACUUCCUGAGCAGAAAUGGGCGAACUUCAGUCUUUUUACUGUGUUUUUGCAGUAUUCUAUAUAUAAUUUCCUUAAUUUGUAAAUUUAGUGACCAUUAGCUAGUGAUCAUUUAAUGGACAGUGAUUCUAACAGUAUAAAGUUCACAAUAUUCUAUGUCCCUAGCCUGUCAUUUUUCAGCUGCAUGUAAAAGGAGGUAGGAUGAAUUGAUCAUUAUAAAGAUUUAACUAUUUUAUGCUGAAGUGACCAUAUUUUCAAGGGGUGAAACCAUCUCGCACACAGCAAUGAAGGUAGUCAUCCAUAGACUUGAAAUGAGACCACAUAUGGGGAUGAGAUCCUUCUAGUUAGCCUAGUACUGCUGUACUGGCCUGUAUGUACAUGGGGUCCUUCAACUGAGGCCUUGCAAGUCAAGCUGGCUGUGCCAUGUUUGUAGAUGGGGCAGAGGAAUCUAGAACAAUGGGAAACUUAGCUAUUUAUAUUAGGUACAGCUAUUAAAACAAGGUAGGAAUGAGGCUAGACCUUUAACUUCCCUAAGGCAUACUUUUCUAGCUACCUUCUGCCCUGUGUCUGGCACCUACAUCCUUGAUGAUUGUUCUCUUACCCAUUCUGGAAUUUUUUUUUUUUUAAAUAAAUACAGAAAGCAUCUUG
RNAcentral lists this long non-coding RNA (1285 nucleotides) under Homo sapiens (human). RNAcentral describes it as "non-protein coding lnc-ETF1-2:2". The record is from RNAcentral. Lineage: Eukaryota; Metazoa; Chordata; Mammalia; Primates; Hominidae.